This 429-nucleotide ribosomal RNA is filed under the name Gemmatimonadota bacterium. RNAcentral describes it as "Gemmatimonadetes bacterium partial 16S ribosomal RNA". It matches the Rfam family "Bacterial small subunit ribosomal RNA", at positions 355 to 776 of the family's 1533-position model. Lineage: Bacteria; Pseudomonadati; Gemmatimonadota. The record is from RNAcentral.
UAGGGAAUCUUCGGCAAUGGACGAAAGUCUGACCGAGCAACGCCGCGUGAGUGAAGAAGGUUUUCGGAUCGUAAAACUCUGUUGUUAGAGAAGAACAAGGACGUUAGUAACUGAACGUCCCCUGACGGUAUCUAACCAGAAAGCCACGGCUAACUACGUGCCAGCAGCCGCGGUAAUACGUAGGUGGCAAGGGUUGUCCGGAUUUAUUGGGCGUAAAGCGAGCGCAGGCGGUUUCUUAAGUCUGAUGUGAAAGCCCCCGGCUCAACCGGGGAGGGUCAUUGGAAACUGGGAGAGUGGAGUGCAGAAGAGGAGAGUGGAAUUCCAUGUGUAGCGGUGAAAUGCGUAGAUAUAUGGAGGAACACCAGUGGCGAAGGCGGCUCUCUGGUCUGUAACUGACGAUGAGGCUCGAAAGCGUGGGGAGCAAACAGG